RNAcentral lists this ribosomal RNA (448 nucleotides) under uncultured Streptococcus sp. Its description in RNAcentral is "bacterial SSU rRNA". It matches the Rfam family "Bacterial small subunit ribosomal RNA", at positions 933 to 1382 of the family's 1533-position model. Lineage: Bacteria; Bacillati; Bacillota; Bacilli; Lactobacillales; Streptococcaceae. The record is from RNAcentral.
UGGAUGAUGUGGAUUAAUUCGAAGCAACGCGAAGAACCUUACCAGGUCUUGACAUCCCGAUGCUAUUUCUAGAGAUAGAAAGUUACUUCGGUACAUCGGUGACAGGUGGUGCAUGGUUGUCGUCAGCUCGUGUCGUGAGAUGUUGGGUUAAGUCCCGCAACGAGCGCAACCCCUAUUGUUAGUUGCCAUCAUUCAGUUGGGCACUCUAGCGAGACUGCCGGUAAUAAACCGGAGGAAGGUGGGGAUGACGUCAAAUCAUCAUGCCCCUUAUGACCUGGGCUACACACGUGCUACAAUGGUUGGUACAACGAGUUGCGAGUCGGUGACGGCGAGCUAAUCUCUUAAAGCCAAUCUCAGUUCGGAUUGUAGGCUGCAACUCGCCUACAUGAAGUCGGAAUCGCUAGUAAUCGCGGAUCAGCACGCCGCGGUGAAUACGUUCCCGGGCCUU